This is a long non-coding RNA of Siniperca chuatsi (mandarin fish), 921 nucleotides long. RefSeq lists it as uncharacterized. The transcript has 5 exons. The record is from RefSeq and is a predicted model, not a curated record. Lineage: Eukaryota; Metazoa; Chordata; Actinopteri; Centrarchiformes; Sinipercidae.
GUUGGGUGCAGGGCUGAACAAGGUGAACUGGACCUUCACGGCCACCGUCUGUCUGCCCAGCCAGCCACCUGAAUGCAGGAGCUUCAGUUUGGAGGCAGCGUCAGACCUGCAGAAGAGUAGAGGACAACUCAGUGAUGCCAACGGUAGCACUUGGUCCUGAGUAGCAGCCCAGUUGACCACAUGUCCCUGGAGGCGUCAUAGGAACUAAGGCAUUGGAUUGCGGAUAAGUGGAUGUUCUGCUCCCAGACAAGAAUAAGCGAAGACAUUCUGGGACAUUUCUUUUAGUGGGUUAUAGGGACACGGUCAAGCCGAUCGACGACGUGGUAACACCUGCUGUGACCAGACCACGCUGCCUGGUGAUGGCUGCCUUCCUUCAUUUUCCCUUGAGGAUCUUCCCCCUUCUGAGUAGCUUGACCUCCAUCCCUCGUACCGAACAAAAGAGCUUUCUCGGUUCCAUGAAACCCGCUGCUUUCACUUAAAAGAUCAAACUCUUUUCCCUGAGAAUCGUAGUGGACGCUGGCAGUAGGUCUGUGGCCUACAACACAAGAAGAAGGGUCAGAUAGGGAGAAAAAUGUUGUGAGAACAAAGACAUAGAGAAAGGGAAAGAGAGAGAAAGAAGAUAGAUGCUGGAGGGGUAACCUGGUAUUUCUUCCUCCAGGCUUCCUGCGCCCACUGCUGAAGACUGCUCCAAGAGAGAUGGGGCUCAUAUAUACUGUCAGUCACUGAAAGGGCAGGAGACAAAACAACGAUGAAAUGAGGAGAAAUAGAAAGGGAGGUGAGGAGACAAGAAAAGAAAAGAGUAAAUAAAAAAUUGUAAUGAUGGAUAAAGCGGAUUAAUUAUGUUCUGAUAAAAACAGAAUCAAAUUUAUGUCAUACUGUAAGAAAAACUGAGAAUGUGAUCUAGGUGGGCAUCAUUUUCAU